UAUGUUUUACCUCCCGGGGGACAUUUGGUGUGAUCCUCUACGUUGUGGCUUCUGUCGGUGUGAUGACAAUGAUGUUUCGUGCGACAACACGUCAUGUGACCUGCUAACAGGAGAAGAAUUUUGCACGGAUAGAAAAAGUCAAAUCUCUACAAUUCUAUGAACACGUCCAAUACUUUGAUAACAAAAACUGUUUAAAGAUUUUUGUAAUUCUAGAUUCUAAAAGCAGUAUUUUCAAAAAGUAUUUCAUGAAUUUUGAUGAAGACAGCGUA
This is a long non-coding RNA of Bolinopsis microptera, 269 nucleotides long. RefSeq lists it as uncharacterized. The transcript is spliced from 2 exons. The record is from RefSeq and is a predicted model, not a curated record. Lineage: Eukaryota; Metazoa; Ctenophora; Tentaculata; Lobata; Bolinopsidae.